Molecule: ribosomal RNA, 432 nt
Filed under: uncultured bacterium
Lineage: Bacteria
Description: partial 16S ribosomal RNA
Rfam family: Bacterial small subunit ribosomal RNA
Source: RNAcentral
AACGAACGCUGGCGGCAUGCCUAACACAUGCAAGUCGAACGAGACCUUCGGGUCUAGUGGCGCACGGGUGCGUAACGCGUGGGAACCUGCCCUUAGGUUCGGAAUAACUCCCCGAAAGGGGUGCUAAUACCGGAUAAUGUCUUCGGACCAAAGAUUUAUCGCCUUUGGAUGGGCCCGCGUUGGAUUAGCUAGUUGGUAGGGUAAAAGCCUACCAAGGCGACGAUCCAUAGCUGGUCUGAGAGGAUGAUCAGCCACACUGGGACUGUGACACGGCCCAGACUCCGACGGGAGGCAGCAGUGGGGAAUAUUGGACAAUGGGCGAAAGCCUGAUCCAGCAAUGCCGCGUGAGUGAUGAAGGCCUUAGGGUUGUAAAGCUCUUUUACCCGGGAUGAUAAUGACAGUACCGGGAGAAUAAGCUCCGGCUAACUCCGU